GUCGGGCACGGUGGUGCAUUCCUGUAGUCCCAGCUACUCAGGAGGCUGAGGCUGGAGGAUCUUGAGUCCAGGAGCUCUGAGCUGUAGUAUGCUAUGCCGAUCGGGUGUCUGCACUAAGUUUGGCAACAAUAUGGUGACCUCCUGGGAGCGGGAAACACCAGGUUGCCUAAGGAGGGGUGAACCCGCCCAGGUCGGAAACAGAGCAGGUCAUAACUCCUGCGCUGAUCAGUAGUGGGAUCAUGCCUGUGAAUAGCCACUGUACUCCAGCCUGGGCAACAUAGCGAGACCCCAUCUCU
Molecule: signal recognition particle RNA, 296 nt
Filed under: Saimiri boliviensis boliviensis (Bolivian squirrel monkey)
Lineage: Eukaryota; Metazoa; Chordata; Mammalia; Primates; Cebidae
Description: Metazoan signal recognition particle RNA (ENSSBOG00000003285.1)
Rfam family: Metazoan signal recognition particle RNA
About the family: The signal recognition particle (SRP) is a universally conserved ribonucleoprotein. It is involved in the co-translational targeting of proteins to membranes.
Source: RNAcentral